This 432-nucleotide ribosomal RNA is filed under the name uncultured Cronobacter sp. RNAcentral's name for it is "bacterial SSU rRNA". It matches the Rfam family "Bacterial small subunit ribosomal RNA", at positions 505 to 939 of the family's 1533-position model. Lineage: Bacteria; Pseudomonadati; Pseudomonadota; Gammaproteobacteria; Enterobacterales; Enterobacteriaceae. The record is from RNAcentral.
GUGCCAGCCGCCGCGGUAAUACGGAGGGUGCAAGCGUUAAUCGGAAUUACUGGGCGUAAAGCGCACGCAGGCGGUCUGUUAAGUCAGAUGUGAAAUCCCCGGGCUCAACCUGGGAACUGCAUCUGAUACUGGCAGGCUUGAGUCUCGUAGAGGGGGGUAGAAUUCCAGGUGUAGCGGUGAAAUGCGUAGAGAUCUGGAGGAAUACCGGUGGCGAAGGCGGCCCCCUGGACGAAGACUGACGCUCAGGUGCGAAAGCGUGGGGAGCAAACAGGAUUAGAUACCCUGGUAGUCCACGCCGUAAACGAUGUCGACUUGGAGGUUGUGCCCUUGAGGCGUGGCUUCCGGAGCUAACGCGUUAAGUCGACCGCCUGGGGAUACGGCCGCAAGGUUAAACUCAAAUGAAUUGACGGGGCCCGCACAAGCGGUGGAGCA